RNAcentral lists this ribosomal RNA (501 nucleotides) under uncultured bacterium. Its description in RNAcentral is "partial 16S ribosomal RNA". It matches the Rfam family "Bacterial small subunit ribosomal RNA", at positions 28 to 523 of the family's 1533-position model. The record is from RNAcentral.
GAUGAACGCUAGCGGCAGGCUUAAUACAUGCAAGUCGAGGGGCAGCACAGAUAGCAAUAUUGGGUGGCGACCGGCAAACGGGUGCGGAGCACGUACACAACCUUCCUUUUAGUGUGGGAUAGCCCAGAGAAAUUUGGAUUAAUACCACAUAGUAUAUUGGAGUGGCAUCACUUUGAUAUUAAAGAUUUAUCGCUAAAAGAUGGGUGUGCGUAUGAUUAGGUAGUUGGUAGAGGUAACGGCUCACCAAGCCUUCGAUCAUUAACUGGUGUGAGAGCACGACCAUUCACACGGGCACUGAAACACGGGCCCGACUCCGACGGGAGGCAGCAGGAAGGAAUAUUGGUCAAUGGACGGAGGUCUGAACCAGCCAUGCCGCGUGAAGGAUGACGGCCCUCUGGGUUGUAAACUUCUUUUAUGUGGGACGAAAAAGGGCCAUUUUUGGUCAACUGACGGUACCAUAGGAAUAAGCACCGGCUAACUCCGUGCCAGCCGCCGCCGUAA